Molecule: transfer RNA, 72 nt
Filed under: Bos taurus (domestic cattle)
Lineage: Eukaryota; Metazoa; Chordata; Mammalia; Artiodactyla; Bovidae
Rfam family: tRNA
About the family: Transfer RNA (tRNA) molecules are approximately 80 nucleotides in length.
Source: Rfam by way of RNAcentral
UCCCUAGUGGUCCAGUGGUUAGGACAUCAAGUUUUCACUAUUGAAGCCCAGGUUCAAUCUCUGGUCAGGGAA